AUACGGAGGGUGCGAGCGUUGUCCGGAAUCACUGGGCGUAAAGGGCGCGUAGGCGGUGACUUAAGCGUGUGGUGAAAGCCCGGGGCUCAACCCCGGGUCGGCCGUGCGAACUGGGUCACUCGAGCACUGUAGAGGCAGGUGGAAUUCCGGGUGUAGCGGUGGAAUGCGUAGAGAUCCGGAAGAACACCAGUGGCGAAGGCGGCCUGCUGGGCAGUAGCUGACGCUGAGGCGCGACAGCGUGGGGAGC
Molecule: ribosomal RNA, 247 nt
Filed under: uncultured bacterium
Lineage: Bacteria
Description: partial 16S ribosomal RNA
Rfam family: Bacterial small subunit ribosomal RNA
Source: RNAcentral